GAAGGACUUUCUGUCCAAAUGCACAAACAAAGCAGCAUCCCCAGUAUUUCACCAAUAAAACGUUUGUUUUACACCUCCUUUCCCCACGGUUCUGUGCUGAAUUCUUUGGUCGGGCUGUCUACUUCAGCAUAGCACAAAAUGGCACCACUGCAUUAUUAUUUCUCAGCAAUGGAACAUUGAAACACCAUAGCAGAUGGGUGGUGUUAUUGUGUAUUUUGACUUGAGUGCUGUACCUGUACCUUUACAACAGUUUUGAUUUGUGGUUUCGUAAGUGAAGUCAACAGUUCAAAAACUGAAGAGAAAAGAAAUAGUGGCAAAGGGCUUUACAAUGUUUAUACCUGUUUUUUAAAUACAUGGGAUGGAAUUCUUAAACUUGGAAGUUUAAGUUCAAACCAAAAACAACAUUGAAAUGCACUACAUUAAAGUAUAAUGUUUUCUGUAUAAA
Non-coding RNA from Pogona vitticeps (central bearded dragon), 445 nucleotides. Lineage: Eukaryota; Metazoa; Chordata; Lepidosauria; Squamata; Agamidae. The record is from RefSeq and is a predicted model, not a curated record.